Long non-coding RNA from Daktulosphaira vitifoliae (grape phylloxera), 550 nucleotides. RefSeq lists it as uncharacterized. The record is from RefSeq and is a predicted model, not a curated record. The transcript has 2 exons. Lineage: Eukaryota; Metazoa; Arthropoda; Insecta; Hemiptera; Phylloxeridae.
AGUGUUGUUAUUAUUAUUAAUGUAUUUUUUUUUUAAUUUUACUUGUUAUUUUUUUUACCUUUGGUUAAAUUGUAAACUACGUUUUUAUUAUAAAAUUGUGUUUUUAUUUAAUUUAUAUUAUAAGUUCUUUAUUCGAGAGUGAGCAAAUGCAUAAGGACACUAAACUUAUAAUAAUGUGUCGUUAAUUUUUUCCCGUUUUGUUACUUUGAUAACAUCAUAAUUGUCUAUCGAAAAAGUUUCUCGGAAUUGUUGUAGCUCGUUUAAAUUUGUUGAGACCACAGGCAAUACCGGACCCAAUGCCUUGUCCAAUGAAUUGCGGUUGUGUGUACAAAGGAAAACAUCGCAAGUAUAUUUUAAAACGUCAUUUGCUCUACGAAUGUGCAAUGCUGAAAGUUAAAUGUCCGCAUUGUCCCAAAUUAUUUAGUCAAAGAGCUCAUUAUAAGUUUCAUUUAUCUUCAGCGCAUGGAGUUAUGUCUAUACCAUUAGAAAAUGGUGAAUAACUAUAAUCUCGGAACGAGUCAGAGAAAUCGAAGGAUUAAUUAAAAUUAAG